GCAACGCCGCGUGAGUGAAGAAGGCUUUCGGGUCGUAAAACUCUGUUGUUGGAGAAGAAUGGUCGGCAGAGUAGCUGUUGUCGGCGUGACGGUAUCCAACCAGAAAGCCACGGCUAACUACGUGCCAGCAGCCGCGGUAAUACGUAGGUGGCAAGCGUUAUCCGGAUUUAUUGGGCGUAAAGCGAGCGCAGGCGGUUUUUUAAGUCUGAUGUGAAAGCCCUCGGCUUAACCGAGGAAGUGCAUCGGAAACUGGGAAACUUGAGUGCAGAAGAGGACAGUGGAACUCCAUGUGUAGCGGUGAAAUGCGUAGAUAUAUGGAAGAACACCAGUGGCGAAGGCGGCUGUCUGGUCUGUAACUGACGCUGAGGCUCGAAAGCAUGGGUAGCGAACAGGAUUAGAUACCCUGGUAGUCCAUGCCGUAAACGAUGAAUGCUAGGUGUUGGAGGGUUUCCGCCCUUCAGUGCCGCAGCUAACGCAUUAAGCAUUCCGCCUGGGGAUUACGACCGCAAGGUUGAAACUCAAAGGAAUUGACGGGGGCCCGCACAAGCGGUGGAGCAUGUGGUUUAAUUCGAAGCAACGCGAAGAACCUUACCAGGUCUUGACAUCUUUUGAUCACCUGA
RNAcentral lists this ribosomal RNA (620 nucleotides) under Lacticaseibacillus rhamnosus. Its description in RNAcentral is "bacterial SSU rRNA". It matches the Rfam family "Bacterial small subunit ribosomal RNA", at positions 391 to 1002 of the family's 1533-position model. Lineage: Bacteria; Bacillati; Bacillota; Bacilli; Lactobacillales; Lactobacillaceae. The record is from RNAcentral.